GCCAGUUUGGUUCAGUGGAUAGAGCGUUGGACUGCGGACUCAAGGGUCACGGGUUCGAUUCCAGUCAAGGGCA
This is a non-coding RNA of Myotis davidii, 73 nucleotides long. The record is from Rfam. Lineage: Eukaryota; Metazoa; Chordata; Mammalia; Chiroptera; Vespertilionidae.